This is a non-coding RNA of Rhodofomes roseus, 100 nucleotides long. NCBI's taxonomy places the organism in Eukaryota, Fungi, Basidiomycota, Agaricomycetes, Polyporales, Fomitopsidaceae. The record is from the annotation of a RefSeq genome assembly.
GCCCGUUUAGCUCAGUGGUAGAGCGCGCCACUCGUAAGGUUCUUACAGUCACGUGAUCGUGGGCAUGGUGAGGUCGGUUGUUCAAUCCAGCCAAUGGGCA